This 406-nucleotide ribosomal RNA is filed under the name uncultured bacterium. RNAcentral describes it as "partial 16S ribosomal RNA". It matches the Rfam family "Bacterial small subunit ribosomal RNA", at positions 30 to 526 of the family's 1533-position model. The record is from RNAcentral.
AUUGAACGCUGGCGGCAGGCCUAACACAUGCAAGUCGAACGAGUGGCGGACGGGUGAGUAAUGUCUGGGAAACUGCCUGAUGGAGGGGGAUAACUACUGGAAACGGUAGCUAAUACCGCAUAACAUAAGAUGAGCCGAGAUGGUAUUAGCUUGUUGGUGGGGUAAAGGCUAACCAAGGCGACGAUCCCUAGCGGGUUUGAGAGGAUGACCAGCCACACUGGAACUGAGACACGGUCCAGACUCCUACGUGAGGCAGCAGUGGGGAAUAUUGGACAAUGGGCGAAAGCCUGAUCCAGCCAUGCCGCGUGUGUGAAGAAGGUUUUCGGAUUGUAAAGCACUUUAAGUUGGGAGGCGUUACCAACAGAAUAAGCACCGGCUAACUUCGUGCCAGCAGCCGCGGUAAUUC